Molecule: ribosomal RNA, 462 nt
Filed under: uncultured bacterium
Lineage: Bacteria
Description: bacterial SSU rRNA
Rfam family: Bacterial small subunit ribosomal RNA
Source: RNAcentral
ACGAGUUUGAUCAUGGCUCAGAUUGAACGCUGGCGGUAUGCUUAAGACAUGCAAGUCGUGCGGUAGAGGCUUCGGCCUUGAGAGCGGCGGACGGGUGAGUAACACGUGGGAAUCUGCCUAUUAGUGGGGGACAGCCCAGCGAAAGCUGGAUUAAUACCGCAUACGCCCUACGGGGGAAAGCAGCAAUGCGCUAAUAGAUGAGCCCGCGUAAGAUUAGCUAGUUGGUAAGGUAAAGGCUUACCAAGGCGACGAUCUUUAGCUGGUCUGAGAGGAUGACCAGCCACAUCGGGACUGAGACACGGCCUGGACUCCUACGGGAGGCAGCAGUCGGGAAUAUUGGACAAUGGGCGCAAGCCUGAUCCAGCAAUACCGCGUGUGUGAAGAAGGCCUGCGGGUUGUAAAGCACUUUCAGUUGGGAAGAUAAUGACGUUACCAACAGAAGAAGCACCGGCUAACUCCGUG